GAACUUUCUAGAGAUAGAUCGGUGCCUUCGGGAACUCUGUGACAGGUGUUGCAUGGCUGUCGUCAGCUCGUGUCGUGAGAUGUUGGGUUAAGUCCCGUAACGAGCGCAACCCUUAUCCUUAUUUGCCAGCACGUAAUGGUGGGAACUCUAAGGAGACUGCCGGUGACAAACCGGAGGAAGGUGGGGAUGACGUCAAGUCAUCAUGCCCCUUAUGUCCA
RNAcentral lists this ribosomal RNA (218 nucleotides) under uncultured Pelagophyceae. RNAcentral describes it as "partial Bacterial small subunit ribosomal RNA". It matches the Rfam family "Bacterial small subunit ribosomal RNA", at positions 993 to 1209 of the family's 1533-position model. The record is from RNAcentral. Lineage: Eukaryota; Pelagophyceae.